RNAcentral lists this long non-coding RNA (449 nucleotides) under Manihot esculenta (cassava). RNAcentral describes it as "long non-coding RNA (MESC_LNC009231)". Lineage: Eukaryota; Viridiplantae; Streptophyta; Magnoliopsida; Malpighiales; Euphorbiaceae. The record is from RNAcentral.
GCAUAUUCAUGCAUCAUAUAUGCCAUGUGAUAUUUUAGGUUGUUUGCAUUAGUAUUCACGAAUAUGUUGCAUUGCAUAAUAUGAUGUGGAUGCGGAUUGGCUAUUGGAUGAUCCUCUAGUCCUCCUAUGGUAUGAUAUGAUGAUGAUACGGUAUGGAUUGCCAGUGAGGCCCAUUCUACGCCCCUGGACUAUGUUAAGAGAAAGACCAGUGAGGCCCAUUCUACGCCCCUGGCAUAUUGGAAUGUUAUGUUAUGUUAUGUAUGUAAGAGAAAGACCAGUGAGGCCCAUUCUACGCCCCUGGCACGAUUGGACUAUGUUGAGGACUAUAGGUGACAAUACCAUCCUUAUGUGAUAUGUUUGUGAUGUGUUGCAUUUCAUGGAAGCAUGAAAUAUUUAAUAUAUGUUUUCUCUAUUCUGCUCACUGGGCUUUAUAGCUCACCCCUCUCCCC